Haliotis rubra (blacklip abalone) is the source of this 350-nucleotide long non-coding RNA. RefSeq lists it as uncharacterized. NCBI's taxonomy places the organism in Eukaryota, Metazoa, Mollusca, Gastropoda, Lepetellida, Haliotidae. The record is from RefSeq and is a predicted model, not a curated record. The transcript is spliced from 3 exons.
GUGUGGUAUCGUCUCUGAAGAUCUCAGUCACACGCAGUGCUGGAACGCUAGUCUGUGUCACCCCCAUCUAUGCAUGCUCCACCAGAACCGACCAUGAUUUGUACGGCGUUCCUUGUAUUGACACUCUCAGUGUUUGUAGCUGAGCCCCGAAGUGUUGUUCAAACUAAAUCCGGACUUUGCGAGCCGAACUGGUGCGGAAUGGUCUCAUUUAGGAUAACGUCGUCAAGGGGUAACGUCAACAACGGUUACUGGCUGUGUCAACUUCGCAAGCUCUACUGCUUGACCACAACGACAGCCCGGCCAACUACAACGACUACAACCACAACAACUACAACAACGCCAACCACAAC